RNAcentral lists this small nucleolar RNA (138 nucleotides) under Ornithorhynchus anatinus (platypus). Lineage: Eukaryota; Metazoa; Chordata; Mammalia; Monotremata; Ornithorhynchidae. The record is from RNAcentral.
CCCCUCUCAGAGUCACACCUGGAGAGUUUCCAGUCCUCUACCAGUCUCAGCUAUGGGAGGGAGAAUCAGGCAGAGGCCUACCCAUUCCAUUCCUAGCUUGGGCAGUGGCUAGCAAAUGGAAGGCAAUCUGCCACAAGU